GUUGUGGCUCAGUGGUAGAGCACUUGCCUAGCAUGCAGGAGGCACUGGGUUCAAUUCCCAGGCACCACA
RNAcentral lists this transfer RNA (69 nucleotides) under Marmota monax (woodchuck). It matches the Rfam family "tRNA". From Rfam's summary of the family: Transfer RNA (tRNA) molecules are approximately 80 nucleotides in length. Their secondary structure includes four short double-helical elements and three loops (D, anti-codon, and T loops). Further hydrogen bonds mediate the characteristic L-shaped molecular structure. tRNAs have two regions of fundamental functional importance: the anti-codon, which is responsible for specific mRNA codon recognition, and the 3' end, to which the tRNAs corresponding amino acid is attached (by aminoacyl-tRNA synthetases). tRNAs cope with the degeneracy of the genetic code in two manners: having more than one tRNA (with a specific anti-codon) for a particular amino acid; and 'wobble' base-pairing, i.e. permitting non-standard base-pairing at the 3rd anti-codon position. Lineage: Eukaryota; Metazoa; Chordata; Mammalia; Rodentia; Sciuridae. The record is from Rfam by way of RNAcentral.